RNAcentral lists this ribosomal RNA (1686 nucleotides) under Klebsiella pneumoniae. Its description in RNAcentral is "bacterial LSU rRNA". It matches the Rfam family "Bacterial large subunit ribosomal RNA", at positions 1260 to 2925 of the family's 2925-position model. Lineage: Bacteria; Pseudomonadati; Pseudomonadota; Gammaproteobacteria; Enterobacterales; Enterobacteriaceae. The record is from RNAcentral.
GCUGUGAGGCAUGCUGGAGGUAUCAGAAGUGCGAAUGCUGACAUAAGUAACGAUAAAGCGGGUGAAAAGCCCGCUCGCCGGAAGACCAAGGGUUCCUGUCCAACGUUAAUCGGGGCAGGGUGAGUCGACCCCUAAGGCGAGGCCGAAAGGCGUAGUCGAUGGGAAACAGGUUAAUAUUCCUGUACUUGGUGUUACUGCGAAGGGGGGACGGAGAAGGCUAUGUUAGCCGGGCGACGGUUGUCCCGGUUUAAGCAUGUAGGCUGGUUGUCCAGGCAAAUCCGGAUAAUCAAGGCUGAGGUGUGAUGACGAGGCACUACGGUGCUGAAGUAACAAAUGCCCUGCUUCCAGGAAAAGCCUCUAAGCAUCAGGUAACAUUAAAUCGUACCCCAAACCGACACAGGUGGUCAGGUAGAGAAUACCAAGGCGCUUGAGAGAACUCGGGUGAAGGAACUAGGCAAAAUGGUGCCGUAACUUCGGGAGAAGGCACGCUGGUGUGUAGGUGAAGCCCCUGCGGGUGGAGCUGAGACCAGUCGAAGAUACCAGCUGGCUGCAACUGUUUAUUAAAAACACAGCACUGUGCAAACACGAAAGUGGACGUAUACGGUGUGACGCCUGCCCGGUGCCGGAAGGUUAAUUGAUGGGGUUAUCCGUAAGGAGAAGCUCUUGAUCGAAGCCCCGGUAAACGGCGGCCGUAACUAUAACGGUCCUAAGGUAGCGAAAUUCCUUGUCGGGUAAGUUCCGACCUGCACGAAUGGCGUAAUGAUGGCCAGGCUGUCUCCACCCGAGACUCAGUGAAAUUGAACUCGCUGUGAAGAUGCAGUGUACCCGCGGCAAGACGGAAAGACCCCGUGAACCUUUACUAUAGCUUGACACUGAACAUUGAGCCUUGAUGUGUAGGAUAGGUGGGAGGCUUUGAAGCGUGGACGCCAGUCUGCGUGGAGCCAACCUUGAAAUACCACCCUUUAAUGUUUGAUGUUCUAACGUUGGCCCCUUACCGGGGUUGCGGACAGUGUCUGGUGGGUAGUUUGACUGGGGCGGUCUCCUCCCAAAGCGUAACGGAGGAGCACGAAGGUUAGCUAAUCCUGGUCGGACAUCAGGAGGUUAGUGCAAUGGCAUAAGCUAGCUUGACUGCGAGCGUGACGGCGCGAGCAGGUGCGAAAGCAGGUCAUAGUGAUCCGGUGGUUCUGAAUGGAAGGGCCAUCGCUCAACGGAUAAAAGGUACUCCGGGGAUAACAGGCUGAUACCGCCCAAGAGUUCAUAUCGACGGCGGUGUUUGGCACCUCGAUGUCGGCUCAUCACAUCCUGGGGCUGAAGUAGGUCCCAAGGGUAUGGCUGUUCGCCAUUUAAAGUGGUACGCGAGCUGGGUUUAGAACGUCGUGAGACAGUUCGGUCCCUAUCUGCCGUGGGCGCUGGAGAAUUGAGGGGGGCUGCUCCUAGUACGAGAGGACCGGAGUGGACGCAUCACUGGUGUUCGGGUUGUCAUGCCAAUGGCACUGCCCGGUAGCUAAAUGCGGAAGAGAUAAGUGCUGAAAGCAUCUAAGCACGAAACUUGCCCCGAGAUGAGUUCUCCCUGAGACUUUAAGUCUCCUGAAGGAACGUUGAAGACGACGACGUUGAUAGGCCGGGUGUGUAAGCGCAGCGAUGCGUUGAGCUAACCGGUACUAAUGAACCGUGAGGCUUAACCUU